GGAAGAGGCAUUUAAGUUCAGUUUUUUCUUUUAAUAUCAAAAAUUACACAGGGAAGAGCUCAAAGCGAAGGUCUUGUAGGUUCGCAGCAGGAUUCCCAGAAACCUUUGGAUAACAGUGUGAAAUGAAGAGCUGAAGCAGUAGAGACCUCAUCACAAAGGGACUUCCCUUUUGUUUGCAGUAAACUCUGGUAUUGUGCCAUCACCAGGUACUAGAGGGCACCUCAAAAACCACUGCACCAGGACUCAGAGGAUGAGUUUUCCUUGAGGAACCUAAGCUCCCACAGGUCACUUGAGAUGUGGAAGAUGUCCACGACUGCUGAUCCUUUUGGGGACACUUUGAUGUUUUCUGCCACAGUGCAAGAUACCUGGGUUUGAUUCUUAGGCCAAGGACAAUAAACAUAAAUAUGGUACAGUUACCA
This 419-nucleotide long non-coding RNA is filed under the name Parus major (Great Tit). RNAcentral's name for it is "lncRNA (ENSPMJG00000011330.1)". Lineage: Eukaryota; Metazoa; Chordata; Aves; Passeriformes; Paridae. The record is from RNAcentral.